Molecule: long non-coding RNA, 1055 nt
Organism: Tripterygium wilfordii
Lineage: Eukaryota; Viridiplantae; Streptophyta; Magnoliopsida; Celastrales; Celastraceae
Exons: 6
Source: RefSeq, a predicted model, not a curated record
CCUGCAUCCUCACAAAUCACUUAUUUUGAUAGCAGGGAUCUUACUGUAUUUUAACCUCCCACACCAGAUGCAUGCACCUCACGGGCGAUUGAGGUUUUUGUCUUAUGUGAGAGUGUCAACGACGUCUGCAUCUACGAAAGACAAAUCAGUACAGAUCGACUCCGUGCGUGCAUCUGCUGGGUCGUUUCUUGCUUGCAUGAAUCCUCCUUUGUUGGUCAUCAAAGUCCCAUCGCAUGUCUGAGUCUUUAUGGGUCGAUUUUUGAGCUCCUGACGGGUUAUUGGGGCUUUGUUGAGUUUUCUCGGCUGUCUUGGGGUCUUCUCUCUUUGUAAAAAUAUACGAUCUUCUAAGCUCGCUGCCUUGCUCUUCACUCCUCGGUGAUAUCUGCUAUCUUAUAAGCUUGGUUCUUGGUGGCCAAUUGUUGGUGUUCUUUUGUUCUUUGCCUUACAACUUUCCUUUGUGCUUCAGCCUGCAAUUGCCUCCAUAAUCAGGGAACAGCUAUAUGACUUAAUUUACCAUAUUUGUCUCUUCUUCAUACUCCAGAUUGCAAUUCAGAGUGUUACCUUGGUGCUGAACAUUUCCCACCUACGUAUUUCUCAGCAGCUUUGUUUUGUUGGUGUCAGUUAUAAUUUGCUUCAAGGUAGAGGAAUCAAAAGGCGUAUGUUUUGGUUUGUAUCGUGCUCUGCUUUUAUUUUAUCCAGGAUAUGGAUGCUACUUAUCUGAUGACAGAUCGAAUGCCCUUCCAAGCAGUUCUAGCAGACAGGUUAGAUUGUUCGGUGUGAUGUUUCAAAAAAAAAAAAAUCACAGCACGCAUGUUCUGCAUUUCGUAGUAAAUGUUAUGAUAUAAGAAGUUAAGAACUGGUUGAGUGAUGUGGAUUAUGGGCUUGAGAGAAGGUUGACAUUGUAACAUAUGAAACUCAUCUCCCCAUAAGAGGUAAGUACAAUUUAGUGAAGGUUUAUUCAACAGUCAUAUAAGUAGCAUAUUUAAUUUUUAGAAGUAGUGAACUGUUUCUAAACUGAAUUUUCACAAUUGUCUGGUUUAUUGACUUGCGGUUUC